GGUUCUGAGACUCUGCCAUGGACCGAACUUCGGCAACAUAUGCAUACUUGUUUGGCUGCCUCUUCUUGAACACAUAAACAUGAUUGGUGCUCAUCUUCUCCUGAGCAAUCAGAACUUUUUCACUUCCAUUGAUAAUGAAAUAUCCACCCUGAUCAUAAGGACACUCCCCAAGCUCUGUCAGAUCUUUCUCUGAAUUCUGGUAC
RNAcentral lists this unclassified non-coding RNA (203 nucleotides) under Hevea brasiliensis (rubber tree). Lineage: Eukaryota; Viridiplantae; Streptophyta; Magnoliopsida; Malpighiales; Euphorbiaceae. The record is from RNAcentral.